This 254-nucleotide unclassified non-coding RNA is filed under the name uncultured Acidimicrobiia bacterium. RNAcentral's name for it is "contains 16S-23S intergenic spacer region". It matches the Rfam family "Bacterial small subunit ribosomal RNA", at positions 524 to 776 of the family's 1533-position model. The record is from RNAcentral. Lineage: Bacteria; Bacillati; Actinomycetota; Acidimicrobiia.
CACGUAGGCACCAAGCGUUGUCCGGAAUUAUUGGGCGUAAAGAGCUCGUAGGCGGUUCGGCAAGUCGGGUGUGAAAACUCAGGGCUCAACCCUGAGCUGUCACCCGAUACUGCUGUGACUAGAGUGCGGUAGGGGAGCGGGGAAUUCCUGGUGUAGUGGUGGAAUACGCAGAUAUCAGGAGGAACACCAGUGGCGAAGGCGCCGCUCUGGGCCGUAACUGACGCUGAGGAGCGAAAGCAUGGGUAGCAAACAGG